GUAUAUCCCAUUUAAAUGCAGGGCGCCAAAGGAACCCGAAUAUUCACCCAAAAAAGAGCCCAGGCGCACACAGGGCGAGGACUUGCCGCGCUGGGGGAGGCGAGGACACAGCUCAGCCCCCUCCUCCCCAGCCGGGCAGCCUCAGCUUUGCACAAAACCUAGAAACUGAUGACCUGUCUCAACAUUUUUUUCUGAACCCAAGUGGCGUUAGCUUUCAUUUUGCAUUCUGACUUGAAGAGAGAAUGCCAGCAAGAGUGAUCAGUUCAGUGGGCUGCCCCUCCGCCUUUUAUUUUGCCUCAGCUUUCCUUCCAGAGCCCCUUGGUCUUAAAACAAGGUUGGCUAAACAAUUCCCUAUACAGGAGAGAGAGGAGAGACCCUGAAACACACGCCACCUAUCUUUGUGGGGAGGGAUAAUUGAAGAGCACCAAACGCUCUCCUUCACCCUUCAAGCUGACAAUUUCUGCAACUCUUAAAAGCACCCCAGCAGAGAUGCAUCCUCCAGAUAAAAUGCUCUGAUCUUCGCUGGAUUGGCACAGCACUUCAGCCUCUCUCAGACAUUAUUUUAGCGUGGUGUAGAAGGUUGCAUUCUCCCAGGACAAAGACACGAAGAGAUGGAACGUAGCCCUUCUGACUUUAUAUUACUUAUCUAACUAAGGAUUGCUGGAUGGAGUCUAUAGCUCAUAAACUGGAACUUCAAGCUUACCCUUCAUAUUGAAGAUGGAGGAAAAGCUGUGUGAGGCAACCCAAAGAGGAAUGAAGUUAAAAGUUUGAAGAACAUCAAGAGGAGAAAAAAAAAAAACCUGAGCUGCAAAUAAAUAUGCAGUGUUGAGAUUUCUUACGACUACCAGUUAACAAAACCAGAAAGACUAUGUCUGGUGAGAUAUGCAUGCGAAGCAGAGAAAGUAGAUUGCCACAUUACGAGAUGGAGAAAAGGUUCCAAGUUUUCAGUGUCCAAAAGUGUGUUGAAAUCCAGAAAAUCAUUAUGCUUAUAAUUGUUUGUGAAACCGCUCUGUGCCAUUUGUAUAGGAGAGAAAUGCACUCAAAUAAUAAAAAAGGUUUAAAUUUGGGGAAUAAAAGGAGACAAAAUUUAAUGGAAACUGUUUAAGAGAGGAAAGUCAGCAUCCAGAUGGGAAACAGUGAGGCCUUAUUCAGCACCUAAAGUGAUGGCGUAGGUUGUACCGGGAACUGUGAGAGACAGAGCCAGACACACAGGGAAGGAAAAAACCUGUUAACUAGUAUCAGCCAGUUGAGAGAGCAGAAUUUAGACUAAGGACAAUUCAUGGGUAUGCAUUGACUUUAGAUGGCUUGAUCCAGUGUAUAAUGUAAGUCUGCAAGGUGUAGAAGAUUUCCAGCUCAAAUUGGGGCUCUACAGUUAGUGAGAGAGAAACCAGCAAAAUACGCCUAAAAGAACGGACUUGAACCUUCGGGUUUGGUUUUGGUAGAUUUAUUCAGACAUCAGGCUCUAGGAACAGGGGAAGUAAAAGACAUUUUCUGUGGCAUUUGUUGACAAAACUGUAAAUACCUAUAGUUUAAAUCCUUAGAUUUUAGUGAGAGUUUGCAGUCAUGGUCUAAAUGUGAGGUUUCUUCUGGGAACUGGUAAAAGCAAAACAAUGUUAAGUUUGUGUAGUGGUAACCACUGUGCUGUAUUGGAGCCCUUCACUGUUGUGCUGCUUCCUGUGUUAAUAUAAGGAAAUGAUUGAUAAAAAUAUGCAUAAGAAAAAGCGAGUUCUCAUAGCUUUGACUAAUACUUAUGAAGGCAAAUCCUGAUCUUGCUCUUGGAAGACGGUCCACUGAAAUCGGUGUAGUACAUAUUCAGCAAGACCAACAAACUUUGAUCCAUAGUUUAAACAAGCUAUUUGAAGCAGCUGGGAGAGAACCUGGAUUUGAAAGUGGAAAAACUAUCUAUGUUCAAGGCCAACUCUUAACUGAUGCAAAAUUUAAUUUAAAUUUGAAGGCUGAGAGCACACAACACGCCCUUAAUGAAACCAAGCAAACUUCAGUGCAGUUACCCUGAGCAACAAAGCAAUCAUUAAAGAAUUUGAGUGAAAUAAAAUAGUCAACGGUCCAGAUGCUGGUCUUCAUUAUACUGGUGGAAAGCUAAAGGAGGUCCAUUCAGACCCGGGCAGUUGCUCCAGAUUUAUACAGGAAUUAUUUCUAUCAGAAACUGGAACAAAUAUCCGGGUUCCUGCUUGGGAGGCUGGACUUCAUAUCUGGACGUUCUGAAGUUUCAGGUCACUGAAGUUGAGACAUUGGAGGGUUGACGAGGAAUAUUCUGAAAAGCUUAUAAAUGACUUUGACCAGAAUCACGAAGACGUUUUAGGUAUCUAGGGCUAAUCUACA
Alligator sinensis (Chinese alligator) is the source of this 2340-nucleotide long non-coding RNA. RefSeq lists it as uncharacterized. Lineage: Eukaryota; Metazoa; Chordata; Crocodylia; Alligatoridae. The transcript has 7 exons. The record is from RefSeq and is a predicted model, not a curated record.